Molecule: small nuclear RNA, 105 nt
Organism: Gorilla gorilla gorilla (western lowland gorilla)
Lineage: Eukaryota; Metazoa; Chordata; Mammalia; Primates; Hominidae
Source: Ensembl
AUGCUCACUUUGGCAGCACAUACACUAAAACUGGAAUGAUGUAGAGAAGAUGAGCAUGGUACCUCUGCAAGGAUGACACACAUUUGUGAAAUGUUACAUAUUUAA